GCUCAGAUAGCUCAGUUGGGAGAGCGCCAGGCUGAAGAUCUGGAGGCCCUCAGCUCAAUCCUGGGUCUGGGCA
This 73-nucleotide transfer RNA is filed under the name Perkinsus chesapeaki. It matches the Rfam family "tRNA". Rfam says of the family: Transfer RNA (tRNA) molecules are approximately 80 nucleotides in length. Their secondary structure includes four short double-helical elements and three loops (D, anti-codon, and T loops). The record is from Rfam by way of RNAcentral. Lineage: Eukaryota; Perkinsozoa; Perkinsida; Perkinsidae.